RNAcentral lists this ribosomal RNA (468 nucleotides) under uncultured bacterium. RNAcentral's name for it is "partial 16S ribosomal RNA". It matches the Rfam family "Bacterial small subunit ribosomal RNA", at positions 28 to 507 of the family's 1533-position model. The record is from RNAcentral.
GACGAACGCUGGCGGCGUGCUUAACACAUGCAAGUCGAACGGAAAGGCCCUGCUUUUGUGGGGUGCUCGAGUGGCGAACGGGUGAGUAACACGUGAGUAACCUGCCCUUGACUUUGGGAUAACUUCAGGAAACUGGGGCUAAUACCGGAUAGGAGCUCCUUCUGCAUGGUGGGUGUUUGAAAGUUUCUGCGGUUGGGGAUGGACUCGCGGCUUAUCAGCUUGUUGGUGGGGUAGUGGCUUACCAAGGCGUUGACGGGUAGCCGGCCUGAGAGGGUGACCGGCCACAUUGGGACUGAGAUACGGCCCAGACUCCUACGGGAGGCAGCAGUGGGGAAUAUUGCACAAUGGGCGGAAGCCUGAUGCAGCAACGCCGCGUGAGGGAUGACGGCCUUCGGGUUGUAAACCGCUUUCGCCAGUGAAGAAGCGUGAGUGACGGUAAUGGGUGAAGAAGCACCGGCUAACUACGUG